AGGCAUACUUUGAUUUAUCAAUUAUUGAAAUAAGCAUAUUAUUUGAUAAAUGUUGUAGUAGGAAUGAGAUAGACUACGUGAAUGGUGGUUUGUACAGUUCAUUAUUGGCUACUGAAGCCAAGGGGGUGAGCUCUCAUGGGUUUCCUGGAGGUUUAGGAAAGAUUUGAUGCUUUUUUGUUGACCGUUGAUUGUAGAAUCUAUAAAAUUUGUGUCUUAUAUUUUGCAGGACUGGUAGGUUAUCAGACGCCGACAGAAUAAUAAUGUGACUAAUGCCUCUUCUGU
Molecule: unclassified non-coding RNA, 282 nt
Filed under: Hevea brasiliensis (rubber tree)
Lineage: Eukaryota; Viridiplantae; Streptophyta; Magnoliopsida; Malpighiales; Euphorbiaceae
Source: RNAcentral